RNAcentral lists this ribosomal RNA (439 nucleotides) under uncultured bacterium. RNAcentral describes it as "partial 16S ribosomal RNA". It matches the Rfam family "Bacterial small subunit ribosomal RNA", at positions 339 to 795 of the family's 1533-position model. The record is from RNAcentral.
CUACGGGGGGCUGCAGUGAGGAAUAUUGCACAAUGGGGGAAACCCUGAUGCAGCAACGCCGCGUGGAGGAUGACGCAUUUCGGUGUGUAAACUCCUUUUAUAAGAGAAGAAAAUGACGGUAUCUGAUGAAUAAGCUCCGGCUAACUCCGUGCCAGCAGCCGCGGUAAUACGGAGGGAGCAAGCGUUAUUCGGAAUCACUGGGCGUAAAGGACGCGUAGGCGGGACAGUAAGUCAGGUGUGAAAUCCAAUGGCUCAACCAUUGAACUGCACUUGAAACUGCUGACCUAGAGUACUGAAGGGGCAGAUGGAAUUAGUGGUGUAGGGGUAAAAUCCGUAGAUAUCACUAGGAAUACCGAAAGCGAAGGCGAUCUGCUGGGAAGUUACUGACGCUGAGGCGUGAAAGCGUGGGGAGCAAACAGGAUUAGAUACCCCGGUAGUC